GUCAAAUCAUCAUGCCCCUUAUGUCCUGGGCUACACACGUACUACAAUGGCUGAUAAACAACGGGAAGCGAAGCCGCGAGGCGGAGCAAAUCCCCAAAAACAGCCCCAGUUCGGAUUGCAGGCUGAAACUCGCCUGCAUGAAGUUGGAAUUGCUAGUAAUCGCGGAUCAGCAUGCCGCGGUGAAUACGUUCCCGGGCCUU
RNAcentral lists this ribosomal RNA (200 nucleotides) under uncultured prokaryote. RNAcentral's name for it is "partial 16S ribosomal RNA". It matches the Rfam family "Bacterial small subunit ribosomal RNA", at positions 1184 to 1382 of the family's 1533-position model. The record is from RNAcentral.